RNAcentral lists this ribosomal RNA (840 nucleotides) under Streptococcus thermophilus. RNAcentral describes it as "bacterial SSU rRNA". It matches the Rfam family "Bacterial small subunit ribosomal RNA", at positions 67 to 891 of the family's 1533-position model. The record is from RNAcentral. Lineage: Bacteria; Bacillati; Bacillota; Bacilli; Lactobacillales; Streptococcaceae.
CUGAAGAGAGGAGCUUGCUCUUCUUGGAUGAGUUGCGAACGGGUGAGUAACGCGUAGGUAACCUGCCUUGUAGCGGGGGAUAACUAUUGGAAACGAUAGCUAAUACCGCAUAACAAUGGAUGACACAUGUCAUUUAUUUGAAAGGGGCAAUUGCUCCACUACAAGAUGGACCUGCGUUGUAUUAGCUAGUAGGUGAGGUAAUGGCUCACCUAGGCGACGAUACAUAGCCGACCUGAGAGGGUGAUCGGCCACACUGGGACUGAGACACGGCCCAGACUCCUACGGGAGGCAGCAGUAGGGAAUCUUCGGCAAUGGGGGCAACCCUGACCGAGCAACGCCGCGUGAGUGAAGAAGGUUUUCGGAUCGUAAAGCUCUGUUGUAAGUCAAGAACGGGUGUGAGAGUGGAAAGUUCACACUGUGACGGUAGCUUACCAGAAAGGGACGGCUAACUACGUGCCAGCAGCCGCGGUAAUACGUAGGUCCCGAGCGUUGUCCGGAUUUAUUGGGCGUAAAGCGAGCGCAGGCGGUUUGAUAAGUCUGAAGUUAAAGGCUGUGGCUCAACCAUAGUUCGCUUUGGAAACUGUCAAACUUGAGUGCAGAAGGGGAGAGUGGAAUUCCAUGUGUAGCGGUGAAAUGCGUAGAUAUAUGGAGGAACACCGGUGGCGAAAGCGGCUCUCUGGUCUGUAACUGACGCUGAGGCUCGAAAGCGUGGGGAGCGAACAGGAUUAGAUACCCUGGUAGUCCACGCCGUAAACGAUGAGUGCUAGGUGUUGGAUCCUUUCCGGGAUUCAGUGCCGCAGCUAACGCAUUAAGCACUCCGCCUGGGGAGUACGACCGCAA